RNAcentral lists this long non-coding RNA (455 nucleotides) under Mytilus galloprovincialis (Mediterranean mussel). Lineage: Eukaryota; Metazoa; Mollusca; Bivalvia; Mytilida; Mytilidae. The record is from RNAcentral.
AUAGUUUAUACCAAUUGAUUUCUCUUGUAGGGCUAUUUCUCUCCAUAACUUUAGACCUACUAACAUUAUUCCUAGGUUUUUUAGUUGUUUUUUUUCUGAACAAAUUACUAUCAGAAUCUCAAAAUAUUGUAAUUUUUAGUAGAACUUAGCAGCUAUCUGGGUAAUACCAUGUCCCUUGUUUUGAUUUUUGUUCCGUUUCAAUUGUUUUGUUUGUUUGUUUUCAUUGUUUUGUUUACUGCUGCUUAUCAAGUGUACACUAGAGUCUUCCUUCAUUGUACAAAGUUGUAUAUAUAGAGAAGUAUAGAUAUAGAUAUAUAUAUAUAAAACAUCUUAUUUAACAAGUCAUGUGCAAUAUUUUGUCUUAUUGAUGUGUACAUUAAAGAAGAAGUUAGAUUUGAAAUUGUAGAAGUCUAACUCUCAUAGUUCAAAGGUCAAAUCUGUGAAAGAUGUUAACA